GUCGAACGAGAAUCUUUGGAAUGAUUCUUUCGGGAUGAAUUCCAAACAUGAAAGUGGCGGACGGGCGAGUAACGCGUGAGUAACCUGCCCAUAAGAGGGGGAUAAUCCAUGGAAACGUGGACUAAUACCGCAUAUUGUAGUUAAGUUGCAUGACUUGAUUAUGAAAGAUUAUCGCUUAUGGAUGGACUCGCGUCAGAUUAGAUAGUUGGUGAGGUAACGGCUCACCAAGUCAACGAUCUGUAGCCGAACUGAGAGGUUGAUCGGCCGCAUUGGGACUGAGACACGGCCCAGACUCCUACGGGAGGCAGCAGUGGGGAAUAUUGCGCAAUGGGGGCAACCCUGACGCAGCAACGCCGCGUGCAGGAAGAAGGUCUUCGGAUUGUAAACUGUUGUCGCAAGGGAAGAAGACAGUGACGGUACCUUGUGAGAAAGUCACGGCUAACUACGUGCCAGCAGCCGCGGUAAUACGUAGGUGACAAGCGUUGUCCGGAUUUACUGGGUGUAAAGGGCGCGUAGGCGGACUGUCAAGUCAGUCGUGAAAUACCGGGGCUUAACCCCGGGGCUGCGAUUGAAACUGACAGCCUUGAGUAUCGGAGAGGAAAGCGGAAUUCCUAGUGUAGCGGUGAAAUGCGUAGAUAUUAGGAGGAACACCAGUGGCGAAGGCGGCUUUCUGGACGACAACUGACGCUGAGGCGCGAAAGUGUGGGGAGCAAACAGGAUUAGAUACCCUGGUAGUCCACACCGUAAACGAUGGAUACUAGGUGUAGGAGGUAUCGACCCCUUCUGUGCCGCAGUUAACACAAUAAGUAUCCCACCUGGGGAGUACGACCGCAAGGUUGAAACUCAAAGGAAUUGACGGGGGCCCGCACAAGCAGUGGAGUAUG
RNAcentral lists this ribosomal RNA (884 nucleotides) under uncultured bacterium. Its description in RNAcentral is "bacterial SSU rRNA". It matches the Rfam family "Bacterial small subunit ribosomal RNA", at positions 61 to 941 of the family's 1533-position model. The record is from RNAcentral.